CUGGCGGCAGGCCUAACACAUGCAAGUCGAGCGGGCGUAGCAAUACGUCAGCGGCAGACGGGUGAGUAACGCGUGGGAACAUACCUUUUGGUUCGGAACAACACAGGGAAACUUGUGCUAAUACCGGAUAAGCCCUUACGGGGAAAGAUUUAUCGCCGAAAGAUUGGCCCGCGUCUGAUUAGCUUGUUGGUGAGGUAGUGGCUCACCAAGGCGACGAUCAGUAGCUGGUCUGAGAGGAUGAUCAGCCAUAUUGGGACUGAGACACGGCCCAAACUCCUACGGGAGGCAGCAGUGGGGAAUAUUGGACAAUGGGCGCAAGCCUGAUCCAGCCAUGCCGCGUGAGUGAUGAAGGCCCUAGGGUUGUAAAGCUCUUUUGUGCGGGAAGAUAAUGACGGUACCGCAAGAAUAAGCCCCGGCUAACUUCGUGCCAGCAGCCGCGGUAAUACGAAGGGGGCUAGCGUUGCUCGGAAUCACUGGGCGUAAAGGGUGCGUAGGCGGGUCUUUAAGUCAGGGGUGAAAUCCUGGAGCUCAACUCCAGAACUGCCUUUGAUACUGAGGAUCUUGAGUUCGGGAGAAGUGAGUGGAACUGC
RNAcentral lists this ribosomal RNA (590 nucleotides) under uncultured bacterium. Its description in RNAcentral is "bacterial SSU rRNA". It matches the Rfam family "Bacterial small subunit ribosomal RNA", at positions 36 to 670 of the family's 1533-position model. The record is from RNAcentral.